GCUCUAUUUAAAGCAUCGGAAAGCUCAGAGAUGCAGCUGCAGAGUCAAACACUAAAUCAGUUCUGUUUGGACGCACCAGAGAGGAAUGGCAGUACCAGAGCCAAUCCCAUAUUCCCGUUUGGUUGUACCUGCCCUUCUCUUGAUUGGCUGGCUUGUGGGUUGUGCCUUAAUGGUUUACUUUGUCUUCUCUUAACAGAGGGGAAGAAGCCUUCGUGAAAGAGCCUCGCAAUUGAACGAAGAUGUCUAUUUUAUUAAAAGCACAGAAUGCAGAUUAGAUGUUAAUAAUAAUGAUAAUGAUAAUGAUACAUAUACUUUUUGUCUGUAAUUUGUCUAAUAAUAACCAAAGCAGUUUUUAGAAUUUAUGUAACUUUGAAUUAAAAUUGCACUGGAUGGUUGGUGACAGAACCAACCUUAGCCAA
Molecule: long non-coding RNA, 419 nt
Organism: Hemicordylus capensis (graceful crag lizard)
Lineage: Eukaryota; Metazoa; Chordata; Lepidosauria; Squamata; Cordylidae
Exons: 3
Source: RefSeq, a predicted model, not a curated record